CCUACGGGAGGCAGCAGUGAGGAAUAUUGGUCAAUGGACGCAAGCCUGAACCAGCCAAGUAGCGUGCAGGAUGACGGCCCUCCGGGUUGUAAACUGCUUUUAGUUGGGAAUAAAAGGGGGCUCGUGAGUCCCGCAUUGUAUGUACCAUCAGAAAAAGGACCGGCUAAUUCCGUGCCAGCAGCCGCGGUAAUACGGAAGGUCCGGGCGUUAUCCGGAUUUAUUGGGUUUAAAGGGAGCGUAGGCCGGCUUUUAAGUCAGCUGUGAAAGUCCGCGGCUCAACCGUGGAAUUGCAGUUGAAACUGGAGGCCUUGAGUGCACACAGGGAUGCCGGAAUUCAUGGUGUAGCGGUGAAAUGCUUAGAUAUCAUGAAGAACUCCGAUCGCGAAGGCAAGUGUCCGGGGUGCAACUGACGCUGAGGCUCGAAAGUGCGGGUAUCAAACAGGAUUAGAUACCCUAGUAGUC
RNAcentral lists this ribosomal RNA (462 nucleotides) under uncultured bacterium. RNAcentral's name for it is "partial 16S ribosomal RNA". It matches the Rfam family "Bacterial small subunit ribosomal RNA", at positions 338 to 795 of the family's 1533-position model. The record is from RNAcentral.